This is an RNA transcript of Trachemys scripta elegans, 5159 nucleotides long. It is a transcript of the gene named transmembrane O-mannosyltransferase targeting cadherins 4, with no coding region annotated. NCBI's taxonomy places the organism in Eukaryota, Metazoa, Chordata, Testudines, Emydidae. The transcript has 19 exons. The record is from RefSeq and is a predicted model, not a curated record.
UUCAGGGGCAGACGCCGUAGCAGCCCCUCCCCCGCCCCAGCAGCUCCGGCGGCGGCGCCCGGGCGCGCAGAGCGGGCAGAGUUUCGCAGCCGGGUGGGAGAUGCCGCUCUGGCUCCGUCUCCUUGCAGAUUUGCAGCCAACAUAAUGCUGGAGCUCCACACUCGAAACAAGCAUUUCACAGAAUGGCACAAUCAGAAUUUAAUUUGGAUCAUGAAAUAUCAUGGUUUGUGCUUCCCUCUUAUUGGGCUAAAAUUAUUGUUGGACUCAUUUCCUGCAUGUGUUUUGCUAACAGCUACGAUGGAGAUUUUGUCUUUGAUGACUCUGAAGCUAUCAUCAAUAAUAAGGACCUCAGAGCAGAAACUCCACUUGGUGACCUGUGGCAUCAUGACUUUUGGGGUGGCAAACUCAGCAGCAAUACCAGCCACAAAUCAUAUCGACCUCUUACUGUCCUGACUUUCAGAAUUAAUUACCUUUUUGCUGGAGGCUUUCACCCAGUGGGUUUUCAUGUCAUCAAUAUAAUACUGCAUUGUGCUAUCUCUGUAUUAAUGGUUGAUGUCUUCUCGAUAUUAUUGGGUGGGCUGCAAUACAGCAGUAAAGGAAGAAGGCUAAACCUUGCUCCAAAAGCAUCUCUUCUAGCUGCUUCACUGUUUGCUGUGCAUCCAGUGCAUACUGAAUGUGUUGCAGGGAUUGUUGGCAGAGCAGACCUGCUGUGUGCCCUGUUCUUUUUGUUGUCUUUCCUUGGCUACUGUAAAGCCUUUAGAGAAAAUAAGGAAGGGAACCAUUUUUCUAUUCUCUGGGUACUGGCGAGUGUUCUUCUUGGUGCAAUAGCCAUGCUGUGCAAAGAACAAGGAAUUACAGUACUGGGCUUGAAUGCUGUAUUUGAUGCUCUGGUGAUUAACAAACUAAAUAUUUUGGAACUUAUUCAAAAGGUACUACAUACGGACAAGUCAUUGGAGAAUGUUGGGUUGUUUAAAAAGGGACUCCUCUUCAGGAUAACUGUUCUGUUGUCUGGAGGGGCCACUAUGCUCUGCAUGCGCUGGAGAAUUAUGGGCACAGGACCACCCGCUUUUACUGAAGUAGACAACCCAGCUUCAUUUGCAGACAGCCUGUUUGUGAGAGCUAUAAACUAUAAUUACUACUAUUCGUUGAAUGCAUGGCUGCUGCUGUGUCCCUGGUGGCUGUGUUUUGAUUGGUCAAUGGGCUGCAUACCCCUUAUUAAAUCAGUCAGUGACUGGAGAAUAAUUGCACUAGCAGCACUUUGGUUCUGCCUAAUUGGCCUGAUAUGCCAAGCUCUGUGCUCACAAGACAGCCAUAAGAGAAGAAUUCUUACACUGGGACUGGGAUUUCUUAUUAUCCCUUUUCUUCCUGCAAGUAACCUGUUCUUCCGAGUAGGAUUUGUUGUUGCAGAGAGAGUCAUCUACCUCCCCAGUAUUGGCUAUUGUAUGCUACUUACGUAUGGAUUUAGUCUAUUGAGCAAACAAGCUAAGAAAAAGAAAAUGCUUGCUGCUGCUGUACUAGGAAUCUUGUUGAUCAACGUGUUGCGCUGUGUUAUCCGCAGUAACCAGUGGAGGUCUGAAGAACAGCUUUUUAGGAGUGCUCUGUCAGUGUGCCCUCUUAAUGCUAAAGUGCACUACAAUGUUGGCAAAAACUUGGCUGAUAAAGGCAACCAAACAGCUGCAAUCAAAUACUACAGGGAAGCUGUAAGGUUGAACCCCAAAUAUGUACAUGCCAUGAACAACCUUGGAAAUAUCUUGAAAGAAAGAAAUGAGCUCCAGGAAGCAGAGGGGCUGCUGUCCUUAGCUGUGCAAAUACAGCCUGAUUUUGCUGCUGCAUGGAUGAAUCUAGGAAUAGUACAGAAUAGUUUAAGAAGGUUUGAAGAGGCAGAGCAAAGCUACUGGACUGCAAUUAAACACAGGAAAAAAUACCCAGAUUGUUACUACAAUUUAGGACGGUUGUAUGCAGAUUUGAAUCGCCACAUAGAUGCAUUGAAUGCAUGGAGGAAUGCUACAGUUCUGAAACCAGAGCAUAGUUUGGCUUGGAACAACAUGAUUAUAUUGCUUGAUAAUACAGGGAAUUUAGCACAAGCCGAAGCAGUUGGAAGAGAGGCCCUGGAACUGAUACCUAAUGAUCAUUCUCUUAUGUUUUCUUUGGCAAAUGUACUGGGAAAAUCACAGAAAUAUAAGGAUGGUGAAACCUAGCCAUGUGUCUAAGCUAUCAAGUUUUCUGUAGUUGUCACAGGAGAAAUUUGCCUUCAGAGAGGACUUAAAAGAGAAGAGGGGAGAUGCUUUGAUGACCAGCUCAGGAAAGUCAUCCUGUUUGCAGGGGGGUAGUAUGGAAGAAAUUACAAGAGAUGGUUGUGGGAGAAAAUGGGGUUCUGAGAUUGUCACCAUUAGUGGAGUGGAAGGAACCAGAAAAUGGUAGUGGGGGAAAAUGUGAUGAGAAGCUCAGUAUGAUCAGUGGGGAAGUGUGGAGUUAUGCAGGGCCUUAAAAGGCACUAACAGGCAACUGGAACUUGGUGUGGUGUAGCAGGGGAGAGCAAAUGGAGGGAUUCAAAGAAGGGACUGAUGUGGUUUGUUCAACAGGGAAGGGAAUGGUCUUAGCAGCUACCUUCUCUAUGGACUGGAGGGGAAGAAUGUAGCAUCAGUAAAGCUAGGGAGCAGUAAGUUACAUGGGAGAUUAUGAGAGCUUGGGCAAGAGUUCUAACUAUAAGGAUAGAGAGAAAGGGCUGUAUCUCAGAGAUAUCUUCUAGGAAAAAGAUUCAAGAUUAGAACGUGUCAAGUGCCUAGACAAGUUGAGUGAAAUUUGUGUUGGGGAGAAAGUUGAAUGAUGAUAUGGCUUCCAGUACUUAAUGGAUAGAUAAUCUCAUAAAUAAUGUGUCUGCAUAAGGGUUGCUAAAGUGUCAGUUCUGCCCUUGAAGCACACUAAGCAUAUUUUUUUCAAUCCAUAUUCCUUUUGAAGCAUUCUAUUGAUUUGGAAAUGUCUUGCCAGCUUGAAAGCUAGGUUUUCUUUCAAUAUGACUGCAGCAAUGUUCCCUGUAGUUUCAAAUUCACUAUGCAUUUUUCCAGAACGGAUGACUUAUUGUUACAGAAAUGUAACUCCUAAGCAUACAAAAGAUGGAAAUUCUUAACUGAGAUCUGGUUUUAGCAAAUUAAUUUCCUUCCUUAAAUAUACUCCCUUUUUGAAAUGGACAAAGCAACCACAGAUCUUGGAAGCCAUCUCUAACACUUUGAAAGUAUGUGUAUAUUAUAUGUAUAGCCACAGUGUUUUUGUUCAAGAGAUACAAGAUGUUAGCCCCAUUGGCUAAGUCAAAGUGUCUCCAUAUUUGAGGUAAAAACAAACUCGUUUUGUGCUGCAACUCUGGCAGCAGAUGGAAUAUGCAGCAUGCUUUUUUCAAAGCUUUUGCUACAAACAGUGCUGCAAAUAUCCUGACAACACUUAAUUUAAAGAUUUGGCUGUCCAGACCAACUGAAAUAUUGCCCAGUGUACUGAAAUGUUUAUUUAAUGCAAUGGGAUAGUCUUCAAAUUGCCUUUAAUCAUCUGAUGCUCUUCUACUAACUGCUGAGCAAAGCAAUGGCAAUAAAAUCUUUUCAAUAAGUAUGUGCCAGAAGGCAUAUGGUAAUGGGAGUCAGCUGCAAACGUGUUUUAUUAAGUUUUCUGGAGAACACCAUGCACAAUAACUGUACUCUAUAAUACUUGGGUAGAGGAGGAAUGAGUUCCUAUGUUUGCUGCUCCUACUGUGUGGCUGGUGACAAUUUAUUGAAAGACUGGGUUAACUGGGCAGCAACAUAUCUCUGCACUUUGAUGGCUGUAUCUUCACAAUGGAAAAAGUAGAAGUCAACUUUUUAAGCUAUAAUCUUAGAAUUUCCAGCAUAUUGGAUAAUACAGCAAAGAUUGCGGAGAGAGUCCAACAUUGUGAGAAGUGUGACUUUAUUAAUCUUUUUUACUUUUUUCCUGCUCCUGCUGUUAGGGCAAUUUGUUUGGAGGAUUUUGCUGUGUGUGUAUGUGCAAUGAACUUGGUGACAGAUGGAGAUGCCAAUCCUGCCACCAAAGGCCUGUUUUCCCCACUUUAAAGAAUUCAGAUGCAUGGUUCAGUAGCUUGUUCCCAUGUAAGGAUAGAGUAGGCCUUCAUGGCUGUGGUUUAUAAAACUUUUCUCACAGGACAGCCUGUAUUUGGUUUUUGGACCUAAGAUGUAACAGCCUUGUACACCAGACAAUCUUCUAGGAAGUAGAGGCCUUUCCUGAGGUGCAUUGGACAGUAACUGUGCAUUAGGGUAUGCCUACACAACAGCUGGAAGGUGCAAUUCCCAGAGUGGGUAGACUUAAACAUACAUGCUAGCUCUGCUCGAACUAGCACCUAAAAAUAGCAGUGUGGCUGAGGUGGCACAGAUGGUGCCUUGGGCUAGCUGCCAAAUAUAUACCUAGAGGAUUGGGCGGGAUUAUACUCUUGCAGCUUUCCCAAACUACUGCCCGUGCUGCAGAAGCUAUGCUGCUAUUUUGAAUGCUCCAACUUGAGCGGAGCUAGCACGUCUGUAUAUGCAGACUAUCUACACUCACAGACUCAAGGAACGUGAAACAUACCACUUAUAGCUGGCCUUUUGUCUCUUAAGUCUUUUGCCUGGGAACUCAGCUGGAGACUGUCCAAGAAUCUAAAAUAUACAGCAGCACAGAAACUACCUAAAAUUACCUUUCUAAAAUAUCUAAACUUAACUUUAUAUUUUUUUUUAACAUGAUGAUUUUUAACAAGAAGGAUUCUCUGGGCACAGAGCAAAGGUCUCUGCACUGGCGGCUAGCUUUGGGAAGACAAAACUUGAAGUGGUUAAGAAACUGACCAGAUUCUUAUAAUCUUGGCUCUGAACAUUUGGUGAGAGGUCAUGAGAGGCCUUUGCUUUUCUAAAAGUUCCCAAACAUCAACAAUGCUAAGGACACAUCCCACAAGUGGGAAUAUUCAGAGGACGCUUGUAGAUGUAGAGAUUUUUUUUCCAGUAAUUUGUAGUUUUUAUAUUUUAAAGUAGAGGUACUGUUCCUCAAUGUGGAUUAUAUUCAGACCUCCGCUUCAGAUGUGUUUACUGAAUCUGAAGCUUUGUUCCUCAAGGCAAUUAAAGCCAAUCCAAAUGCAGCCAGUUAUCAUGGUAAUUUGGCUGUGCUUUACCAUCGCUGGG